CUUCCAUCUCUUGUUCAGUGGGUGGCUCAUGCGCAUCCUCAACAUCUUCAAAUGUGAAGUCUUCCCUUUGGCAAAGGACAAAGGGAACACCACGCGGUACAGAGUACGCAGUCAGCGUACGCGCUAUACGAUCCGAAGCUUCAAUAUCUCUCGUACUCAGCUCGAUCGAGGCAUUCAUGUGCACUCGAUUCGGAUCGUUCCACAUCUCCCGGCUCCCAGGGAGAAACUCAGAAGUGAUGAAAAUAAACUCCUUCCUCCAGUUGCAUCCGAAAUUCGACGGGAGCUCGUCGACGAUGUUUUUGUCGAAGUGGCGUCGCGUGAAUCCAACGCGACUGGAUGCAGACUUCUCUCUUGUGAGCUUGUAAUAGUAAAGCAACAAGCUC
Molecule: long non-coding RNA, 383 nt
Filed under: Zostera marina
Lineage: Eukaryota; Viridiplantae; Streptophyta; Magnoliopsida; Alismatales; Zosteraceae
Description: long non-coding RNA (ZMAR_LNC003743)
Source: RNAcentral